Molecule: non-coding RNA, 671 nt
Organism: Elaeis guineensis (African oil palm)
Lineage: Eukaryota; Viridiplantae; Streptophyta; Magnoliopsida; Arecales; Arecaceae
Source: RefSeq, a predicted model, not a curated record
UGACUCCCGUCGAAGAUGACUAUAUGGACACGAGUUCAGAAUCUAAGAACAAUAAUUAAUAUGAAUAAGUAAUUCAAUUUAUUAUUUUUUGUUAUAUCAUGUAAUACUUGAGUUUUUUUGAUUACGUACUGAUUUAAAUUAUUUUAAUCAUUGUAGCAUCAUGACUGGUCCUGGACGUAGACAUUCACGGGGUAGGCAACAGGCUCCACUUGAUGAUACACAUCCUCACUUUAGCAUUUUGCAUGAUGAGUCAAAGGAUUUAGAUGAGACUCAGUUGCCCGAGUCCACAGAGCAGACUAGUGCUCAGCCAGAGCUUACCCAGCCGAAGGUCAUGGUACCGCAGCAUCAUCCCCUUACAGGAACACAGCAUCGAUGUGCAGUGCGUGGUCCUAGUAGGGGUCUUGUUUUGGAAAAAUAUGUGCAUACACACAAUGAAAAAUCAAAGGUACAGAUAUUUCGAGAUCAUCCGGUUGGCACAGAGGCUAGUAUCAUCGCAAAUGAGAUCAGUUUGUAUAUGUAGAAUCAUUUUUCGUGGGCUGCUGAAAGUUUCAAGCAUGUAGCUCCUCGAUACCGUGAUGCUCUAGUCUCUCACAUCAAGGAUAAUAUUGACUUCGAGGAUUGCACUGACGAAGAAGUGACGACAUGUAUUCUCAAAAUGGCUGCAAAUAGAU